RNAcentral lists this unclassified non-coding RNA (196 nucleotides) under uncultured Montagnulaceae. RNAcentral describes it as "sequence contains ITS1". Lineage: Eukaryota; Fungi; Ascomycota; Dothideomycetes; Pleosporales; Didymosphaeriaceae. The record is from RNAcentral.
UCUAUUUUCCAGGUGUGGUUGCGGCCCCUGCGAAUCAACUCGCAGGCGGUAGGGGGAACACCCUCACGCGGCCACUUACCUAAAUCCUCUUUAUACGAGCACCUUUCGUUCUCCUUCGGCGGGGUUUCUCCGCCGCUGGAACAACAAAAACCUUUUUUGCAUCUAGCAUUACCUGUUCUGAUACAAACAAUCAUAA